UCAGAACGAACGCUGGCGGCAAGCCUAACACAUGCAAGUCGAACGGACAAUUGCUUAUAACCUUUUGGUUAUAAAUAAUUGUUAGUGGCAGACGGGUGAGUAAUGCGUAGGAAUCUACCUAGUAGUAUGGAAUAGCCAUUAGAAAUGAUGGGUAAUACUGUAUAAUCCCUGCGGGGGAAAGAUUUAUCGCUAUUAGAUGAGCCUACGUUAGAUUAGCUAGUUGGUAAGGUAAUGGCUUACCAAGGCUAUGAUCUAUAGCUGGUCUGAGAGGACGAUCAGCCACACUGGAACUGAGAUACGGUCCAGACUCCUACGGGAGGCAGCAGUGGGGAAUAUUGGACAAUGGGCGAAAGCCUGAUCCAGCUAUGCCGCG
This 373-nucleotide ribosomal RNA is filed under the name Ehrlichia chaffeensis. RNAcentral's name for it is "bacterial SSU rRNA". It matches the Rfam family "Bacterial small subunit ribosomal RNA", at positions 24 to 401 of the family's 1533-position model. The record is from RNAcentral. Lineage: Bacteria; Pseudomonadati; Pseudomonadota; Alphaproteobacteria; Rickettsiales; Anaplasmataceae.